Molecule: ribosomal RNA, 819 nt
Filed under: uncultured Actinomycetes bacterium
Lineage: Bacteria; Bacillati; Actinomycetota; Actinomycetes
Description: bacterial SSU rRNA
Rfam family: Bacterial small subunit ribosomal RNA
Source: RNAcentral
ACUCCUACGGGAGGCAGCAGUGGGGAAUAUUGCACAAUGGGCGCAAGCCUGAUGCAGCGACGCCGCGUGAGGGAUGACGGCCUUCGGGUUGUAAACCUCUUUCAGCAGGGAAGAGGCGAAAGUGACGGUACCUGCAGAAGAAGCGCCGGCUAACUACGUGCCARCAGCCGCGGUAAUACGUAGGGCGCAAGCGUUGUCCGGAAUUAUUGGGCGUAAAGAGCUCGUAGGCGGUUUGUCGCGUCUGCUGUGAAAACCUAAGGCUCAACCUUGGGCUUGCAGUGGGUACGGGCAGACUAGAGUGCGGUAGGGGUGACUGGAAUUCCUGGUGUAGCGGUGGAAUGCGCAGAUAUCAGGAGGAACACCGAUGGCGAAGGCAGGUCACUGGGCCGCAACUGACGCUGAGGAGCGAAAGCAUGGGGAGCGAACAGGAUUAGAUACCCUGGUAGUCCAUGCCGUAAACGUUGGGCACUAGGUGUGGGGCUCAUUCCACGAGUUCCGUGCYGCAGCAAACGCAUUAAGUGCCCCGCCUGGGGAGUACGGCCGCAAGGCUAAAACUCAAAGAAAUUGACGGGGGCCCGCACAAGCGGCGGAGCAUGCGGAUUAAUUCGAUGCAACGCGAAGAACCUUACCAAGGCUUGACAUACACCGGAAAAGUGCAGAGAUGUGCUCCCCGCAAGGUCKGUGUACAGGUGGUGCAUGGUUGUCGUCAGCUCGUGUCGUGAGAUGUUGGGUUAAGUCCCGCAACGAGCGCAACCCUCGUCCCAUGUUGCCAGCGGGUUAUGCCGGGGACUCAUGGGAGACUGCCGGGGUCAACUCGGA